AUCUUGAGGAGAUGAUCUUACCUCAUGACAGCCAGUCCAGUGUUUUUGCCACCUGACCAAACUUCCAGAAGGACCUUGAUAACCAGCUUGAUGGUCAGAUUGUCCAUUUCGAUGACUUUGUCGGUAUAGAGUUUCUCCAGAAGUUCACACAAUGACUUGGCACCCUGGCCUGUGACAUCAUUGGCCUUCCAGGGAAGCGAGCUGAAAACACCUGCAAAGGGCACAGGAGGAAAACAAAAAGACCUCUGAGUAACCAGCAUGAAUUCUACACUGCAGCAAAGCUUGUGUAUUUUUUAAAAAAAAUCAUUUUUUCCAGCUGUUGAAUGACUUCAGGAAGCGUUCCCAAGGCCCCAUCUGAUGCAAAGUCCUCCACUGUGCUUCACCACUGCUUGUCUUUACCCUGAUCCCAGCACAAUGGCUCUGCUUGUUGUCUGGUUUGCCACGUCUGUUGUUAAUUUAAACCACCAGGAGGUCAGGGACGACUCUAUUUUGUUUGAAUGGCAUGUGUUCACCGGAAAAUAAUCUUCUCUCCAAUGUAGAAUCCUGAGCAUGAGAAUUCUCAAGACACACUAGGUCAAGAGUGAGAGGAAAGUACAAAAUAUAUGUUCACUGUC
This is a non-coding RNA of Puma concolor (puma), 614 nucleotides long. Lineage: Eukaryota; Metazoa; Chordata; Mammalia; Carnivora; Felidae. The record is from RefSeq and is a predicted model, not a curated record.